This 460-nucleotide ribosomal RNA is filed under the name uncultured bacterium. RNAcentral's name for it is "partial 16S ribosomal RNA". It matches the Rfam family "Bacterial small subunit ribosomal RNA", at positions 338 to 795 of the family's 1533-position model. The record is from RNAcentral.
CCUACGGGUGGCAGCAGUGAGGAAUAUUGGUCAAUGGGCGGGAGCCUGAACCAGCCAAGUCGCGUGAGGGAAGACGGUCCUAUGGAUUGUAAACCUCUUUAGGCGGGGAGCAAUGCCGGGCACGCGUGCCCGGAGGGAGAGUACCCGCAGAAUACGCAUCGGCUAACUCCGUGCCAGCAGCCGCGGUACUACGGAGGAUGCGAUCGUUAUCCGGCUGUAUUGGGUUUAAAGGGUGCGUAGGCGAAUUUUUAAGUCAGCGGUAAACUGUCCGGGCUCAACCCGGGCCGGCCGUUGAAACUGGGGAUCUUGAGUGGGCGAGAAGUAUGCGGAAUGCGUGGUGUAGCGGUGAAAUGCAUAGAUAUCACGCAGAACUCCGAUUGCGAAGGCAGCAUACCGGCGCCCGACUGACGCUGAGGCACGAAAGCGUGGGGAGCGAACAGGAUUAGAUACCCGUGUAGUC